GCUGGUGCAGUGGCUCACGCCUGUAAUCCCAGCACUUUAGGAGGCCGACGUGAGGCAGGCGGAUCACUUGGGGUCAGGAGUUUGACACCAGCCUGGCCAACCUGGUAAAACCCCAUCUCUAUUGAAAACACGAAAAUUAGCCAGGCGUGGUGGUGAGUGCCUGUGAUCCCAGCUACUCAGGAGGCUGAGGCAGGAGGAUCACUUGGACUCGGGAGGCAGAGUUACAGUGAGCCGAGAUCCUGCCACCGCACUCCAGCCUGGGCGACAGAGAAAGACCCCAUCUCAAAACAACAGCAACAACAACAAAACCGGGCUGGGCGUGCCUUCCCAUCGGACACCCGACCUCGCAAGACUGUCAUUAAAAGUCUCACUCUCGCUGUUCUCUGGGUUGUGAGUCCAUUCUCUGGGUGUGGACAGUUUACAGACCCAGAGACUCGGGCCCAGAGAAGACAAGUGACUUUGAACAAAGCAAAUUAGUGGCAAUGCCCAGACUUGAACCGAGAUUGGCAGAGCUUGGUGGUCUGCCACAAACCACCCUCCCCCACAGCAGGUGCGGGUGGGGGGCUCCGUUCUUCCGGUCACCACAGCAUGUUACAGGUUUCUGCAUCAGUGCGCCUCCUCUUAGGAAGAAACAUCUCUGGGCUGGGAUGGCUAGCUCCCCGCUUUCAGCCAUGUAGAAUUUCUCUUGGCAUUUUAGUUAGAAGUGUUGUCUAGAUUUCUUAAGUGUCUGAGGCUGCCCUGGCCACAGGGAUGAGUUAGGGAAAAUUACCGUUUCCCAUGUGCGUGUGUGAAGCUCUCCAUGCUCACUGAAGUCAGAGUGAGAAGCAGCAAACACGUCAUCGGGAGGGUGGCCAGCAAGGCUGUGUCCUUUCACACGUCCUCAGAUCAUCCUUGAAUCCACCCACAUUCCAAAUUCAUUCUCAAAAAUGAGAUUCCAAAUUUCAGGAUCUAUUUACAGCCAGACGAUUUUGGUGCCCCCUGCUCAAAAGCUUUGAUUACUCCUGUGCUUAAUUAAGUCACAAAUCCCUGGCCCAUCAUCCAAGACCACUUGUGAUGUGGUUAAACCUACCUCUGUGAGUGCUAGUAAAUCUACCUCUACUAGUACUAGUAAAUCUACCUCUGCUAGCGCUAGUAAAUUUACCUCUACCAGUACUGCCCCCCACUGUUUCCUUUUCAGGCAUUCAGCUCAGUCUACGGCCCGCAGACAGAUUUCCUAGAAAUAACUGCUCCUACUUCUCAACUCUUAACAAAAAGGUCUCUGAAAAGGAAUUUGGAGGAAACAGACUAUUCCAGUGAAUAGUGUACAAGCCUGGGAGAUGCGGACUUUGGUGUAAAAUGAAGGUGUGUUCAAAGAGCAAAGAAGGAGUUCGGGUUUUAGAGCAAAAAGCUCCUGCCCUGGGGUCCCCAUUAGGUCCAUGUAGGCAAAUGAAGGAUUGAAACGUGCUUAGUUCUGAUUGGUUGGUACAGCUGGGCCCUGAUGGGUUGGUUUCCAAGCCGCGAACCGGAAGUCUUUGUUAGCUGUUUCUUUCAAACAGUGGUGGGGGGCGUGAGGGGCG
This 1556-nucleotide long non-coding RNA is filed under the name Homo sapiens (human). Its description in RNAcentral is "HSALNT0404541". Lineage: Eukaryota; Metazoa; Chordata; Mammalia; Primates; Hominidae. The record is from RNAcentral.